UACGAAGGGGGCUAGCGUUGCUCGGAAUCACUGGGCGUAAAGGGUGCGUAGGCGGGUUUUUAAGUCAGGUGUGAAAUCCUGGAGCUCAACUCCAGAACUGCCUUUGAUACUGAAGAGCUUGAGUCCGGGAGAGGUGAGUGGAACUGCGAGUGUAGAGGUGAAAUUCGUAGAUAUUCGCAAGAACACCAGUGGCGAAGGCGGCUCACUGGCCCGGUACUGACGCUGAGGCACGAAAGCGUGGGGAGCAAACAGG
Molecule: ribosomal RNA, 253 nt
Filed under: uncultured bacterium
Lineage: Bacteria
Description: partial 16S ribosomal RNA
Rfam family: Bacterial small subunit ribosomal RNA
Source: RNAcentral